RNAcentral lists this ribosomal RNA (457 nucleotides) under uncultured bacterium. RNAcentral describes it as "partial 16S ribosomal RNA". It matches the Rfam family "Bacterial small subunit ribosomal RNA", at positions 338 to 795 of the family's 1533-position model. The record is from RNAcentral.
CCUACGGGAGGCAGCAGUGGGGAAUAUUGCACAAUGGGGGAAACCCUGAUGCAGCGACGCCGCGUGAGUGAAGAAGUAUUUCGGUACGUAAAGCUCUAUCAGCAGGGAAGAAAAAAAGUCCUUUGGACUUUGGACGGUACCUGACCAAGAAGCCCCGGCUAACUACGUGCCAGCAGCCGCGGUAAUACGUAGGGGGCAAGCGUUAUCCGGAUUUACUGGGUGUAAAGGGAGCGUAGACGGCAGCGCAAGUCUGGAGUGAAAUGCCGGGGCCCAACCCCGGGACUGCUCUUGGAACUGCGCGGCUGGAGUGCAGGAGGGGCAGGCGGAAUUCCUGGUGUAGCGGUGAAAUGCGUAGAUAUCAGGAGGAACACCGGUGGCGAAGGCGGCCUGCUGGACUGCGACUGACGUUGAGGCCCGAAAGCGUGGGGAGCAAACAGGAUUAGAUACCCCAGUAGUC